GGGGAUAGCUCAGGUGGUAGAGUGUAUGCUUAGCAUGCACAAAGUCCUGGGUUCAAUCCCCAGUGUCUCCA
RNAcentral lists this transfer RNA (71 nucleotides) under Camelus bactrianus (Bactrian camel). It matches the Rfam family "tRNA". From Rfam's summary of the family: Transfer RNA (tRNA) molecules are approximately 80 nucleotides in length. Their secondary structure includes four short double-helical elements and three loops (D, anti-codon, and T loops). RNAcentral also lists the same sequence under 2 other names. The record is from Rfam by way of RNAcentral. Lineage: Eukaryota; Metazoa; Chordata; Mammalia; Artiodactyla; Camelidae.